GCUCAACCGUGGAGGGUCAUUGGAAACUGGGAGGCUUGAGUGCAGAAGAGAAGAGCGGAAUUCCACGUGUAGCGGUGAAAUGCGUAGAGAUGUGGAGGAACACCAGUGGCGAAGGCGGCUCUUUGGUCUGUAACUGACGCUGAGGCGCGAAGGCGUGGGGAGCGAACAGGAUUAGAUACCCUGGUAGUCCACGCCGUAAACGAUGAGUGCUAAGUGUUAGGGGGUUUCCGCCCCUUAGUGCUGCAGCAAACGCAUUAAGCACUCCGCCUGGGGAGUACGGCCGCAAGGCUGAAACUCAAAGGAAUUGACGGGGGCCCGCACAAGCGGUGGGGCAUGUGGUUUAAUUCGAAGCAACGCGAAGAACCUUACCAGGUCUUGACAUCCCGCUGACCGGCGCAGAGAUGUGCCUUUCCCUUCGGGGACAGCGGUGACAGGUGGUGCAUGGUUGUCGUCAGCUCGUGUCGUGAGAUGUUGGGUUAAGUCCCGCAACGAGCGCAACCCUUGAUCUUAGUUGCCAGCAUUGAGUUGGGCACUCUAAGGUGACUGCCGGUGACAAACCGGAGGAAGGUGGGGAUGACGUCAAAUCAUCAUGCCCCUUAUGACCUGGGCUACACACGUGCUACAAUGGAUGGUACAGAG
Molecule: ribosomal RNA, 639 nt
Filed under: uncultured bacterium
Lineage: Bacteria
Description: bacterial SSU rRNA
Rfam family: Bacterial small subunit ribosomal RNA
Source: RNAcentral